CAAAAGGCAUGUGCAAGAGUUAUUCAUAACAGCACUAUUGAGCAACCCCAAACCGGAAGCCACCCAAACAAAGGUCAACAGUCUAAUGGAUAAAUCCACUGUGGCGUAUUCCUACAGCAGAAUACUACAGGCCAGUGAGAAUGAGCCCCACCUCCCUGCCACACUCAGCCAUGUGGAUGAACUUCACGGAACAGAAGACACUCAGUGCUAUGACCCCACGUGUGAGUCAAGCUUCAUAAAGUUCAUGAACAGGCAAAACUGAUCUGCUGUGAUGGGAGUCACGCUAGUGUGUUGUGUUUGAGGGGAAAGAGGCAGUGAUGGGGAGGGAAUAUGAGAGGGGCUGCUGGGUGAAGGUCAUAUGGUCUGCCCGCUACAUGUGAACUUUCAAAAAUGCCUGCAUCUGGUUCCAGCAAGGAACCAGAACCUGUGCCAUCAACAUCAGGCGUGAGUGAAACUGCAGCUUGCCCUCUGUCUCCUGUUGCUGACGAUCCUUCAGAUCUACCACCUCCCACCUCUCCUCCCGCCUGCCGUCGGUAACUCUUCUCGCCUGUUCACUCGAUGCCAGCCCUUGGAUGCCAGCUGUUAUGCUCUACCACUGUACUUCUCUAGGUGUCCAAACAGAAUCUAGAGCCUGUUACCCAUCAUCACCUGGGAGCUUAUCAGAAAUGCACUCGCAAAGUACCACCACUUUAGAAACAGUUCAGAAGUCCCUCGAAAUGUGGAAGUUAACAUAUGACCAAGAUGGACUGUACAACGCUGUGCCCAGUUAACAAUGCUGUAUGGUGCACUUGAAGAUCUACACGGCUAGGUGUCGCCGUGUCGCUCUAAUUUCUUAAAAAGGUAUCAUGACCCAGAAAUUCCAGUCCUAGUUAUUUUAACAGAAAUGAAGACACGUCUUAACUGAGAUGAAAAUGUGUCCACAAAAUCUUGCACACAAAAUGUUCACAGCAUUAUUCAUAAGCCAAAAGGCAUAUAAGGUAUAAACGACCCAAAUGUUCCAUCAACUGAUGAAUACAUAAACAAAAUGUGGCAUGUCCAUACAAUGGAAUAUUAUUUGGCCAUAAAAAGAAAUUAAGUACUUGAUAUUUUACAACAUGAAUGAAUCCUAAAAAUAUCCUAAGAAGCCAGUUAUAGAAUUGCACAUAAUGUAUGAAUCCAUUUAUAUGAACUAUCCAUAAAAGGCACGUCCAUAGAGACAGAAAGUAGAUUAGUGGCUGCUGGAGAUUUCAGGGUGGAACUUGGGUGGAGGUGAUGAAUGGGAAUAAUUGUGAAUGGACAUACGGCUUCUUUCUUGGCAUGACGAAAAAUGUCCUGAAUGAAAGACAGUGGUGAUAGUUGCACGACUGUUACGCUAAAAACAAACCCACCAACCCACUGGAUCGUACACUUUUAAGGAUAUAA
RNAcentral lists this long non-coding RNA (1401 nucleotides) under Bos mutus (wild yak). RNAcentral's name for it is "lncRNA (ENSBMUG00000014422.1)". The record is from RNAcentral. Lineage: Eukaryota; Metazoa; Chordata; Mammalia; Artiodactyla; Bovidae.